UACAGAGGUCUCAAGCGUUGUUCGGAAUUACUGGGCGUAAAGGGUGCGCAGGCCGCACGGGCAGUCAAAUGUGUAAUUCAGGGGCUCAACCCCUGGACUGCGCUUGAUACUUCCGUGCUCGAACCUUGGAGAGGAGUCUGGAAUUCUCGGUGUAGCAGUGAAAUGCGUGGAUAUCGAGAAGAACACUUAGGGCGAAAGCAAGACUCUGGACAAGUGUUGACGCUCAUGCACGAAGGCUAGGGUAGCGAACGGG
Molecule: ribosomal RNA, 253 nt
Filed under: uncultured bacterium
Lineage: Bacteria
Description: partial 16S ribosomal RNA
Rfam family: Bacterial small subunit ribosomal RNA
Source: RNAcentral